UACGAAGGGUGCAAACGUUGCUCGGAAUUAUUGGGCGUAAAGCGCGCGUAGGCGGCCGCUUAAGUCGGAUGUGAAAGCCCCUGGCUCAACUGGGGAAGUGCACCCGAAACUGAGUGGCUUGAGUACUAAAGAGGGUCGCGGAAUUCCCGGUGUAGAGGUGAAAUUCGUAGAUAUCGGGAGGAACACCGGUGGCGAAGGCGGCGACCUGGGUAGAUACUGACGCUGAGGCGCGAAAGCGUGGGGAGCAAACAGG
RNAcentral lists this ribosomal RNA (253 nucleotides) under uncultured bacterium. RNAcentral's name for it is "partial 16S ribosomal RNA". It matches the Rfam family "Bacterial small subunit ribosomal RNA", at positions 524 to 776 of the family's 1533-position model. The record is from RNAcentral.